This is an RNA transcript of Vitis riparia (riverbank grape), 2476 nucleotides long. It is a transcript of the gene named cytochrome P450 89A2-like, with no coding region annotated. The transcript is spliced from 2 exons. The record is from RefSeq and is a predicted model, not a curated record. Lineage: Eukaryota; Viridiplantae; Streptophyta; Magnoliopsida; Vitales; Vitaceae.
AGAACCAGAGACUUUUUCAAUGGAUUUUGAUCGGCAAAAAAUGGAGACAUGGGUCUUCUUCUUCAUCGCCUCACUCUGUAUUGCUUCCCUCCUCAAAUCUCUCCAUGAUUUCUUCUUCCCAAAGCUCAAUCUCCCACCAGGACCCGCCGCCUUUCCUCUCAUCGGAAGCCUCCUCUGGCUCGGCACAUCCUUCGCCGACCUCGAACCCACCCUCCGAAAUUUACACGCCAAGUACGGCCCAAUCCUCACUCUCCGAAUCGGCUCUCGCCCGGCCAUCUUCAUCUCCGAGAACUCCCUCGCCCACCAGGCCUUGGUGCAAAACGGAGCCGUUUUCUCCGACCGUCCUGAGGCGCGUCCGGCCGGUAGAGUCAUGAAUAGUAACCAGCGAAACAUCAGUUCGUGCCCCUAUGGCCCGACCUGGCGUCUCCUCCGCCGCAACCUCAUGGCCGAGAUUCUCCACCCUUCCCGGGUGAGAAGCUACUCCCAAGCACGAAAGUGGGUGCUGGAGAUUCUGGUCUCUCGGCUUAGAAGCCACUCCGACGGAUUUGUCCCUGUCCGAGUGAUGGAUCACUUUCAAUACGCCAUGUUUUGCCUACUGGUGUUCAUGUGUUUCGGGGACAAGCUCGAGGAGAAGCAAAUUCAGGAGAUUGAGAUGAUGCAGCGAAGGUGGUUGUUGGAAUUCCGUCGAUUCAAUAGGCUAGAUUUGUUGCCGAGGAUAGGGAAGGUAUUAUUUCGAAAAACGUGGGACGAGUUGCUCAAUUUGCGCAAAGAUCAAGAAGAGAUUCUGCUGCCGCACAUAAGAGCCAGACAGCCGCUAAAGCAGGAAACGCAAAGCAAACGAGAAGAAGACAACAGCGACCCGGGUUCAUCUUCAUCCUCAAAGGACUAUGUCUUGUCGUACGUCGAUACUUUGUUGGAUCUGCAGUUGCCGGAGGAGAAGAGGAAGCUUAAUGAAGGAGAGAUAGUGACGCUGUGCUCGGAGUUUCUCACUGCCGGAACUGACACUACCUCCACUGCACUGCAGUGGAUCAUGGCGAACCUGGUGAAGUCCCCCCAUAUUCAGGCCAGGCUUUUCGAGGAGAUUAGUGGGGUUGUGGGGGAAGGAGAGGAGGAGGUGAAGGAGGAGGAUUUGCAGAAGAUGCCAUACUUGAAGGCAGUGGUCUUGGAAGGUCUGAGGCGGCAUCCUCCAGGACACUUUGUGUUGCCUCAUUCAGUGACCGAAGAUGUAAGCUUUGAAGGGUAUGACAUACCCAAGAACACAACUGUGAAUUUCAUAGUAUCAGAGCUGAAUUGGAAUCCAAAGAUUUGGGAAAACCCAAUGGAGUUCAAGCCAGAGAGGUUCUUGGACAACAAUGGAGAUGGAGAUCAUGGAGAUGAAGGGGAAGCAUUUGAUAUAACUGGGAGCAGAGAGAUAAAGAUGAUGUCAUUUGGUGCAGGGAGGAGGAUAUGUCCCGGGUAUGGGUUGGCAAUGUUGCAUUUGGAGUAUUUUGUGGCGAAUUUGGUGUGGAAUUUUGACUGGAAGGCAGUGGAGGGAGAUGAAGUUGAUCUAUCGGAGAAGCUGGAGUUCACAGUAGUGAUGAAGAAUCCAUUGCAGGCUCACUUAUCUCCGAGGUUGAAAUAAGGUAAAUAAAUAAUAAAUAAAGAAGUAGAUGGCUUUAGAAGGCCCCCACUGCACCACUACCACUUCACUAUCACCACAAUUCAUAGUGUGUUUGGCUAAGUUGGCAAUCCUAGAUAAAAUGUCCCUAACUCAGUUUUUCAAUUCCUUUUCGGAUUACUUACCUUUGAAAAUUAAGACUUUAAUAAGAGGUCAAGGUUUGUAACUGAGUGUGUGUUGAAUAAAGCAAAUUAAGCCUAUUUUUCAUCUUUAAAAGAGUUAAGAAAGUUGAAAGAAAUGUUUUUUAUUAAAAAGUUUUUAUUCCCCUAUUUCGAGAUUAAUCCAAGUGUAAAGGUAAAUCGAUCUAACUAGCUUAUUUUUAAGAUCAAAUUUCAGUCAUUAGAUUAAGGGUUUCUUUUACUUUUUAAAUACAAACUUCUCCCAUUUCUGGUAAAGAAAUACAACAGUAAUCAUAAAAAAGAGCUUCUCAUUCUUUACCAUUUUGAGAGUGUUUGCCUAUUAAGAAAAUCUCAUCCAAGUUUUCCAAGAAAAUUUUUUAAAUAGAUUUUUUGAAAAAGAAAAUGGGUUGAUUUCUAAAACAUUCAUCUCGCAUUCUCUUGGCUUUGUGUAAAAACUCAUUUUCAUCUUGUAUGGAUUCAAGAAAAGGUCGAGAUCGAGUUUGGCGUGGACUCCAAGUGUGCUCCGAAAAAGUAAUGUAAGAAGCUAAAUGUGAAAGGUAUUAGUCAAGUGGUCUGGGAAGAAUUGGUUAGCUUUAAUUAGGUAAAACCUUGUAUUCAAUUUUUAUUCUUCAUAGUGGAUGUUUUCGUUUAAUUGUAGGCCCGUGGUUUUUUAUCUAUUUAAAGGUUUUCCACAUUACAA